Molecule: ribosomal RNA, 433 nt
Filed under: uncultured bacterium
Lineage: Bacteria
Description: partial 16S ribosomal RNA
Rfam family: Bacterial small subunit ribosomal RNA
Source: RNAcentral
AACGAACGCUGGCGGCAGGCCUAACACAUGCAAGUCGAGCGAGGACUUCGGUCCUAGCGGCGGACGGGUGAGUAACGCGUGGGAACGUGCCCUUUGCUUCGGAAUAGCCCUGGGAAACUGGGAGUAAUACCGGAUGAGCCCUUUGGGGGCAAGAUUGAUCGGCGAAGGAUCGGCCCGCGUUGGAUUAGGUAGUUGGUGUGGUAAUGGCCUACCACGGAGACGAUCCAUAGCUGGUUUGAGAGGAUGAUCAGCCACACUGGGACUGAGACACGGCCCAGACUCCUACGGGAGGCAGGAGUGGGGAAUCUAAGACAAUGGGGGAAACCCUGAUCGAGCCAGGGCGGGUGAGCGAUGAAGGCCUUAGGGUUGUAAAGCUCUUUCAGCUGGGAAGAUAAUGACGGUACCAGCAGAAGAAGCCCCGGCUAACUCCGUG